AGCUACAAUGACACCAGCUGAGCUGUAUGCGGUGCUUCUCCAGCAAGCUCUUCAUCAAUUCAAGCCACCUAUGCCGCUACAGAUUAGGCGGUGUGCUUUUCACCCAAGCUUGUUCCUCAAGUCGUGAGAUAUUAAGAGUUUGUAUUUAGGCUGAACUCUGUAUGGUUUUUUCUUUCACAGACCAGAUGCAAAUCCAAACAAUCUGGCUUGGAUCAAGCACAAACUGGGAUUUUCCACCACAACCAUGAUCCUCUGAUCGCCACUUACAAUAUCAAGGAUCGCAGCAUCACUGUCGGAUGUUUAUCCCUGCAUUCAACUUGAUAUUGUAAUGCUCUUCUCUCAUGGCUGCAAAUUCUGGUAUGUACAUGCCUGCCUCCACACUUAUGUGUCUUGUAUGAUAUCCUAAUUUCCAUGUUCCUAUUUUCUUUUGUUUUUAUGUGCACUACAUGCAUACCACAUGUUUGUCAAUGUGCCUGAAAAAAUGAAGAAAAAAAAAUGAUAUACUUCAGAUUGCCUUUACAUUCUUUAUGUUUCUCUUUAUUUGCUUUGCAAAAUUUUCCCAACUCAAGGAAACAAAAGCAAUUGUCUUACUAAACUGGUUUCUAGAUGUUUAUGUAUGAUUGGAAAACACGUUGCUCUUGUAUUAGCUGAACUGGUUUUGGAUUAGGAAUAAUGUAUGAUAUUUUAGACAAUACAAAUGAUCGGUGUAGUAUUCCAAAAUGCUUUUAACUUGUGGAGAAUGUAAUUUAGAUGUUUAUGUAUGAUUGUCAACACAUUGUUCAGUUAUUCACUGAAUGUUUUUUCGACUAGGAAUGACGGAUAUAAUUAUAUUGGAGGUCCAUGAAACGAAAUCUCGAAUAUUAUUGACAACACAAGAGACGCUUGCUAAUAAUAAAUACUAAAGUUGUGGAACUUGAGGGAAUCUAAUCUAAUUUAAAUGUUUAUGUGUCUGACUUGAAAUCUUAAAAUUAAAUUCAAAUUCAAAUCUUAAAAAUUACAGAUACUUGAAUCAAUCUUAAAAAAUUCAACUAUUCUUAUUCAAAUCAAUCUUAAAACCACAUGUAAACUAAAUCUAAAUUUUAACUAUUUUGAGGAUCCUUUUUAGAGGUCUCAAGGCUAAACAUGAUAUUCCCAUUCUUGCUAAACGUUACAUGGACAAUGUUAUUUAAUAUUUUAGCUUCUUUCUUUUCUUCUUACAACUGUUUUCCUGGACAAUUAAGAGAAAUCUGGCUUGAUUAAGAAAUUUGUAAAUCAAGGGUUCAAUUUUUUUUAUAAUUUCUCCUUGUUAAUGAUCUCUUUUGUUUUUGUCCCUUCAGAAAUUACAGUUGGAUGAAUUUGCUCCACGUGAGGUGAGCUUUGAAUGCAUCAACAAAGAUUUUGAUUUAUUUCUUCAAGGAAAAUGUCUCCGAUGUGUGAUUUGGAGAAAAUUUCAUUUUUACCCCUAUACUUUACCUUGAUGAUCAAUUACACCCUCAGACUUCAAAUAAUUUCAAUUUUAUCCCUAUAUUUUUUGAAAUCAUAUCAAUUAAGCCCCUACCGUCACAUUUGAAACGGAAAAAGUUCAAAAAAUUACAUUUUGAUGCUAAAUUUCAAAAAAAAAAAAAA
Molecule: non-coding RNA, 1605 nt
Organism: Camellia sinensis
Lineage: Eukaryota; Viridiplantae; Streptophyta; Magnoliopsida; Ericales; Theaceae
Source: RefSeq, a predicted model, not a curated record